Molecule: transfer RNA, 74 nt
Filed under: Halieutaea stellata (batfish)
Lineage: Eukaryota; Metazoa; Chordata; Actinopteri; Lophiiformes; Ogcocephalidae
Description: tRNA-Leu
Rfam family: tRNA
About the family: Transfer RNA (tRNA) molecules are approximately 80 nucleotides in length. Their secondary structure includes four short double-helical elements and three loops (D, anti-codon, and T loops).
Source: RNAcentral
GUUGGGAUGGCAGAGCUCGGUUAAUGCAAGAGACCUAAGCCCUCUAUACAGGGGUUCAAACCCCCUUCCCAACU